GAUGAACGCUGGCGGCGUGCCUAAUACAUGCAAGUCGAGCGAACAGACGAGGAGCUUGCUCCUCUGACGUUAGCGGCGGACGGGUGAGUAACACGUGGAUAACCUACCUAUAAGACUGGGAUAACUUCGGGAAACCGGAGCUAAUACCGGAUAAUAUAUUGAACCGCAUGGUUCAAUAGUGAAAGACGGUUUUGCUGUCACUUAUAGAUGGAUCCGCGCCGCAUUAGCUAGUUGGUAAGGUAACGGCUUACCAAGGCAACGAUGCGUAGCCGACCUGAGAGGGUGAUCGGCCAAACUGGAACUGAGACACGGUCCAGACUCCUACGGGAGGCAGCAGUAGGGAAUCUUCCGCAAUGGGCGAAAGCCUGACGGAGCAACGCCGCGUGAGUGAUGAAGGUCUUCGGAUCGUAAAACUCUGUUAUUAGGGAUGAACAAAUGUGUAAGUAACUAUGCACGUCUUGACGGUACCUAAUCAGAAAGCCACGGCUAACUACGUG
This 497-nucleotide ribosomal RNA is filed under the name uncultured bacterium. Its description in RNAcentral is "partial 16S ribosomal RNA". It matches the Rfam family "Bacterial small subunit ribosomal RNA", at positions 28 to 507 of the family's 1533-position model. The record is from RNAcentral.